GCCCGUUAAGUAUAAUUACUGUACAAUUGCCUUCCAAGCAGUGAGAUUAAGAAUAUCUUAAAACGGUUA
This 69-nucleotide transfer RNA is filed under the name Tectus pyramis. Its description in RNAcentral is "tRNA-Gly". Lineage: Eukaryota; Metazoa; Mollusca; Gastropoda; Trochida; Tegulidae. The record is from RNAcentral.